RNAcentral lists this ribosomal RNA (1353 nucleotides) under uncultured bacterium. RNAcentral's name for it is "bacterial SSU rRNA". It matches the Rfam family "Bacterial small subunit ribosomal RNA", at positions 27 to 1381 of the family's 1533-position model. The record is from RNAcentral.
GGAUGAACGCUAGCGGCAGGCUUAACACAUGCAAGUCGAGGGGCAGCACAGGUGGCAACACCGGGUGGCGACCGGCGUAAGGGUGCGUAACACGUGAGCAACAUACCCGUAUCUGGAGGAUAACCGGAGGAAACUCUGCCUAAUACUCCAUAACAUCACCGUACGGCAUCGUCCGGUGAUUAAAGAUUAAUCGGACACGGAUUGGCUCGCGGGACAUUAGCUCGUUGGUGAGGUAACGGCUCACCAAGUCUACGAUGGAUAGGGGUUCUGAGAGGAAGGUCCCCCACAUUGGAACUGAAACACGGUCCAAACUCCUACGGGAGGCAGCAGUGAGGAAUAUUGGUCAAUGGACGAGAGUCUGAAUCAGCCAAGUAGCGUGAAGGAUGACUGCCCUAUGGGUUGUAAACUUCUUUUAUAAGGGAAUAAAGUGAGGGACGUGUCCCUUUUUGUAUGUACCUUAUGAAUAAGGAUCGGCUAACUCCGUGCCAGCAGCCGCGGUAAUACGGAGGAUCCAAGCGUUAUCCGGAUUUAUUGGGUUUAAAGGGAGCGUAGGUUGACAUAUAAGUCAGCUGUGAAAGUUUACGGCUCAACCGUGAAAUUGCAGUUGAUACUGUAUGUCUUGAGUGUACAAGAGGUGGGCGGAAUUCGUGGUGUAGCGGUGAAAUGCUUAGAUAUCACGAAGAACUCCAAUUGCGAAGGCAGCUCACUGGGGUACAACUGACACUGAGGCUCGAAAGUGUGGGUAUCAAACAGGAUUAGAUACCCUGGUAGUCCACACAGUAAACGAUGAAUACUCGCUGUUUGCGAUAUACAGUAAGCGGCCAAGCGAAAGCAUUAAGUAUUCCACCUGGGGAGUACGCCGGCAACGGUGAAACUCAAAGGAAUUGACGGGGGCCCGCACAAGCGGAGGAACAUGUGGUUUAAUUCGAUGAUACGCGAGGAACCUUACCCGGGCUUGAAUUGCAGAGGAACAUAGUUGAAAGAUUAUGGCCGCAAGGUCUCUGUGAAGGUGCUGCAUGGUUGUCGUCAGCUCGUGCCGUGAGGUGUCGGCUUAAGUGCCAUAACGAGCGCAACCCUUAUCAUUAGCUACUAACAGGUCAUGCUGAGGACUCUAGUGAGACUGCCGUCGUAAGAUGUGAGGAAGGUGGGGAUGACGUCAAAUCAGCACGGCCCUUACGUCCGGGGCUACACACGUGUUACAAUGGGGGGUACAGAGGGCAGCUACCGGGCGACCGGAUGCCAAUCCCAAAAACCUCUCUCAGUUCGGAUCGAAGUCUGCAACCCGACUUCGUGAAGCUGGAUUCGCUAGUAAUCGCGCAUCAGCCACGGCGCGGUGAAUACGUUCCCGGGCCU